GAUGAACGCUGGCGGCGUGCCUAAUACAUGCAAGUCGAGCGAACAGACGAGGAGCUUGCUCCUCUGACGUUAGCGGCGGACGGGUGAGUAACACGUGGAUAACCUCCCUAUAAGACUGGUAUAACUUCGGGAAACCGGAGCUAAUACCGGAUAAUAUAUUGAACCGCAUGGUUCAAUAGUGAAAGACGGUUUUGCUGUCACUUAUAGAUGGAUCCGCGCCGCAUUAGCUAGUUGGUAAGGUAACGGCUUACCAAGGCAACGAUGCGUAGCCGACCUGAGAGGGUGAUCGGCCACACUGGAACUGAGACACGGUCCAGGGUACUACGGGAGGCAGCAGUAGCGAAUCUGACGCAAUGGGCGAAAGCCUGACGGAGCAACGCCGAGUGAAUGAUGAAGGUCUUCGGAUCGUAAAACUCUGUUACUAGGGAAGAACAAAUGUGUAAGUAACUAUGCACGUCUUGACGGUACCGAAUCAGAAAGCCACGGCUAACUACGUG
RNAcentral lists this ribosomal RNA (497 nucleotides) under uncultured bacterium. Its description in RNAcentral is "partial 16S ribosomal RNA". It matches the Rfam family "Bacterial small subunit ribosomal RNA", at positions 28 to 507 of the family's 1533-position model. The record is from RNAcentral.